RNAcentral lists this ribosomal RNA (497 nucleotides) under uncultured bacterium. RNAcentral describes it as "partial 16S ribosomal RNA". It matches the Rfam family "Bacterial small subunit ribosomal RNA", at positions 28 to 507 of the family's 1533-position model. The record is from RNAcentral.
GAUGAACGCUUGCGGCGUGCCUAAUACAUGCAAGUCGAGCGAACAGACGAGGAGCUUGCUCCUCUGACGUUAGCGGCGGACGGGUGAGUAACACGUGGAUAACCUACCUAUAAGACUGGGAUAACUUCGGGAAACCGGAGCUAAUACCGGAUAAUAUAUUGAACCGCAUGGUUCAAUAGUGAAAGACGGUUUUGCUGUCACUUAUAGAUGGAUCCGCGCCGCAUUAGCUAGUUGGUAAGGUAACGGCUUACCAAGGCAACGAUGCGUAGCCGACCUGAGAGGGUGAUCGGCCACACUGGAACUGAGACACGGUCCAGACUCCUACGGGAGGCAGCAGUAGGGAAUCUUCCGCAAUGGGCGAAAGCUUGACGGAGCAACGCCGCGUGAGUGAUGAAGGUCUUCGGAUCGUAAAACUCUGUUAUUAGGGAAGAACAAAUGUGUAAGUAACUAUGCACGUCUUGACGGUACCUAAUCAGAAAGCCACGGCUAACUACGUG